ACACAUCCACUCCAAACAACACCAAAACCCUAGUAGGGGCCUAUCUUUGUUAUUAAUUGUAGGGCUACCUAAUCUUUGGGAGUUCUUUGAGGCUCUGUGCAACCCUGCAACACACUGAAAACUAGUACUAUUUGACUGCAACUACUUACCUGAAUUUAUUACGUAAUUCAAAGCCAAUUUCAAUUACAAGAGUUAGCUUCCAAUUAUAUUGAGCAUAUAUCUUGCUAUUUUAAAUUACUUUCAUGCAUUAGGUCUACUUAGGAACCUCUAUAGUUGGUAGGAUCAUACAUUUUGUCAUUCAUUUUAUGCAUCUACGUAGUGGUCGUGUCGCAUCUCAUCCUGAGUCCCAAUUAGGUAUGGAUUCCAAAAUCGAACCUCUAUUAAAAGCUAUUCAAGACACUAAUGCUCAAGUCCAAAACAACAAUGCCCAAAUUCAUGACCCAACCACAAUGUCCACCCAAGUUAAUGCCCGAUUUGAUUCAAUUGAGGCUUCAC
This 495-nucleotide long non-coding RNA is filed under the name Phoenix dactylifera (date palm). RNAcentral's name for it is "long non-coding RNA (PDAC_LNC013300)". Lineage: Eukaryota; Viridiplantae; Streptophyta; Magnoliopsida; Arecales; Arecaceae. The record is from RNAcentral.